UCUACUACAUUUUUCUUUCUUAUCCCAGAAGGCAACACGGCCGAGCGUAGAGCCGUACAAAUCAUCAACAAAUCUUUAAACCAACCCAACGAAAAUCCCCCCCGUCGCCUCGUCUCGAGUUCUCGACCCGUCUCGUCGCGCCGCGCCGCCGCCGCCUCGAUCUCGAAGCCGCUCCAUAAUCCUAGGGUUUUCGCGCCGUCCCCAUGGGCUCUAAGAAGCGGUCGCCCCAGCAUCCCGCCGCCGGCGAGGAGCCCGGCGAUGUCGGCGCCCCGCCGGCGGGGAAGGGGUCGGCAGCGUCGCCGGCGCCUGCCGGGGUGGUGCCGAGGCCGGCGGACGUGGCGCCUUUCCUGACCAAGGUCUACGACAUGGUCUCCGACCCGGCGACCGACGCGGUCAUCUCCUGGGGCGCUGGCGGCGGCAGCUUCGUGAUCUGGGACUCGCACGCCUUCGAACGCGACCUGCUGCCGCGGCACUUCAAGCACAACCACUUUACCAGCUUCAUACGCCAGCUCAACACCUACGGAUUUCAUAAAGUUGAUCCUGAUAGAUGGGAGUGGGCCAAUGAAGGAUUUGUUAAGGACCAAAAACAUCUUCUGAAGACCAUCAAGAGAAAGAAGAAAUCCUCUCAGGAUGCACCUAGUGAUCUGCAGCAAGUGCCUGUCAAAACUGCUCCUGGCACUGAAAACAUCGAAAUUGGAAAAUAUGGAGGCCUCGAAAAGGAGGUUGAAACCCUUAAGAGGGACAAAGCUCUUCUUAUGCAGCAGCUUGUUGAUCUCCGGCAGUACCAGCAAUCAUCUAGCCUUGAAGUGCAGAGUUUAAUUCAACGCCUUCGUGUGAUGGAACAGAACCAACAGCAGAUGAUGGCACUUUUGGCAAUAGUUGUCCAGAAUCCAAAUUUCCUCAAUCAGUUGGUGCAGCAGCAGCAGCGCAGAAGUAACUGGUGGAAUGAUGACGGAAACAGGAAAAGGAGGUUCCAUGCUCUGGAACAGGGUCCGGUAGCUGAUCAGGAGACUUCUGAUGGAGGCACACAAAUUAUUCAGUAUUGUCCUGUUCCUGAAACCUCUAAUCAAGUAAUAUCAGUAAAUGGGGCUUUUUGUUCGACCCCUGCACAGGCAGUUUCAAGCCCUGCACUUGCCAUGCCCAUGGAUAUAGAAACAACUUCAAACAAUGUUGAUACUCUCAGUUCAGCUGGGGACCUAUUUUCUGACACCUCUGCUCUACAUGAAUUGGAUGACAUGGAUCUAUUUGGUAUGGACCUGGAAUACAUACUUCAACAGCCAGGGCAGGCCGGUCAGAUGGAAACACAACAUAACUGUCAAGUGGACCCUCCUUUAACUAUUCAAGAUUAUGGAUUAGAGCAGGACUGUCAAAUGGAAGCACUACAGGACUGCACAAAUCCGCAAUAUGGUAUUUACUAAUUGCUCUGAUGUCAUAACCGAAGCAUGAGCGAUUGUCCAGGAGCACCCUGUCCAGUAACAUUACAUUGGACUUUAUGGUUCCUUUACCAGCGUAGCAAUGUGGUUCCACCUACUGAUGCGGUUUCAGUUUCUGCAGCUUUGUGAUGAACGGAGUCCUGAGACUGGCGAGGUUAGCCACGUGGGCUACCAUUGGCGACCUGAAGACGGUAGAUGUGCUCAGGAAGUAUACUAAUACUCUAAAAAGACAAUAACACAUGCUUGACUAUACAGGAUCUGUCCUUUUUCUUUUUGCCUUUUUCACGCGUUCAAGGCAGUAGGAUAGGGAUUUUUUUUUGCACAACUCUCUGUCCUUCGUUAACGGAAGUUAGCGUCCAUCAUUUGCUGUAUAUACUGUUGUAUUGGAUUUGUACAUGUACAUGAGCAAUUACAUGGUUCGUUACGUAC
Phragmites australis (common reed) is the source of this 1862-nucleotide RNA transcript. It is a transcript of the gene named heat stress transcription factor A-9-like, with no coding region annotated. NCBI's taxonomy places the organism in Eukaryota, Viridiplantae, Streptophyta, Magnoliopsida, Poales, Poaceae. The transcript is spliced from 4 exons. The record is from RefSeq and is a predicted model, not a curated record.